CGAGCGAGAAGCCCGCAAGGGUGAGUAAAGCGGCGCACGGGUGAGUAACACGUGGGUAAUCUUCCUUGGAGCCCGGAAUAACUCCCCGAAAGGGGUGCUAAUGCCGGAUGAGACCACGGGAUCUCCGGAUCCUGAGGGAAAAGGCGGCCUCUGUACACAAGCUGUCACUCCAAGAUGAGCCCGCGGCCCAUCAGCUAGUUGGCGGGGUAAUGGCCCACCAAGGCAUCGACGGGUAGCUGGUCUGAGAGGACGAUCAGCCACACUGGAACUGAGACACGGUCCAGACUCCUACGGGAGGCAGCAGUGGGGAAUUUUGCGCAAUGGGCGAAAGCCUGACGCAGCAACGCCGCGUGUGUGAUGAAGGUCUUCGGAUCGUAAAGCACUGUCGGGAGGGACGAAUAAGGCGGCGGCUAAUAUCCGCAGCCGAUGACGGUACCUCCAAAGGAAGCACCGGCUAACUCUGUGCCAGCAGCCGCGGUAAUACAGAGGGUGCAAGCGUUGUUCGGAAUUAUUGGGCGUAAAGCGCGUGUAGGCGGCCUUGCAAGUUGGGUGUGAAAGCCCUCGGCUUAACCGAGGAAGUGCGCCCAAAACUACAGGGCUUGAGUACCGGAGAGGGUGGCGGAAUUCCCGGUGUAGAGGUGAAAUUCGUAGAUAUCGGGAGGAACACCAGUGGCGAAGGCGGCCACCUGGACGGAUACUGACGCUGAGACGCGAAAGCGUGGGUAGCAAACAGGAUUAGAUACCCUGGUAGUCCACGCUGUAAACG
Molecule: ribosomal RNA, 766 nt
Filed under: uncultured bacterium
Lineage: Bacteria
Description: bacterial SSU rRNA
Rfam family: Bacterial small subunit ribosomal RNA
Source: RNAcentral